Molecule: long non-coding RNA, 3825 nt
Organism: Orcinus orca (killer whale)
Lineage: Eukaryota; Metazoa; Chordata; Mammalia; Artiodactyla; Delphinidae
Exons: 2
Source: RefSeq, a predicted model, not a curated record
AAAUAAUAUGGGCAAUUCCCAUUACUAAUCCUAACCAUGUACAACAGAGGUCUGUACAGUAACAUAGCAAAAAUAAGUUCCUGUAAUUUUACUUAGUCAUUGCCUGUUUUAGACUAAGGAGCAGUGAGAGACAUUUAUAAAUAAUGAUACCUCAGAUCACUUUUGUUAAAUGUCCUCUAAUAUUUGGAUAUUUGGAUCUGACUUGUGUUAUCUUUUUUUACAAUCUUGUCUUCUUUCUUUGCACUUUAGUGUAACAACUCUGUGAUUUCCUAUCUUCUUUUUCAGACACUCAGGUCCAUCAGAAUUUCCUGUGACUGUGACAGUAGAGAGUCCUUCCUCCUCAGAAAUCGAAGAGGUCGAUGAUUCCUCAGAAAGUGUUCAGGAAGAGCCAGAGAAAAUCCGUUUGAAACAAGAAGCACUGCAGAUGUGAUGUAUUCAUUUCCUUCACGAAUAGACCAGGAGAUUGUAUUUCUAAAAGCAAUGAUAGACACUGGGGAAGACCAAGAAGUUUAAACACUGGACCACAGAAUAGCAGAUUCAGAAGGCACUGAGAACCCUUUUAGCUCUUCUCCGUUUUCACAAGACACUACAAUGAUGGUAUCAAAGUGUUUAAAUAUAUAAGCCCACAAGAAUCAAGAGGUUUCAACAUAGUUUUGAAAGACGGAAGACAAGUGGAAGAGUGUGAAACUGAAGCAGUAGAACAGAGGAAAAGCAUCACGUAGAAUAUGCACAGCGACCACCUGCAACUGAGGAGGAUUCUGACCCCACCUGCAGAAGUAGGCCCAUGCUCAGAUGCGCAUGUAGGAGAGAGGGUGGAGUUAGUUAAAAGUGUGACUGAAUAGGGGAGCUCAUUGAAGGGUUGUGUUUGGAGGAGUGGACUCCCAGCCCCGCCCUCACACUCCUGAAAUGAGAUUAUUUCAUUUUGAAACCAGUGAAACUGGCAAGAACUAGGGCAGCUAGUGUGAGUUUUUACACCCUAGAAAAUUGUGUUUGGGGGAGAUCCUAUUACAGUUACUCCCCGCUUUUUCCUGCAUAAGAAACCAAUCAAUCGUUGACUUCAGGGAGCUUUCUGCACUCAUACUUAAAUAGAAAAUAACUGUCAUUUGCGUGAUAGUUGAGUAAAGCUUCCAACAUGAGAGGGGGAAAAAGAGUGAAAACGUAUCCUAGUAGGACCAGGGACAAUUUAGGGAACAAAAUAAUUUAAGAAAAAACCCUAAUUAGUAUCCUGAGAGAGGUUUAAAAAGAGCUAUAAAAAAGCUAUAAAAUAAGAUUAGGGUGUUAAUUAAAAAGAGAAUGGUCAGAAAGCAAGAGAGGUCUCUUGGAAAUGAAAAUGUGGUUGCUGAAAUAAAUUCAGUAGGAAUUUUAAAAAUUUCUCAGUAUAUAAAAAAGAAAGACACAAUGGAAAAUGUGAUAGAAAUAUGUUAGAGAGGCUGCAUCUGGGAGAUCCAACAUGUUACUAUUAGAAACUCCAGACCCAGAACAAAAAUGGAAGGAAGCUGUCAAAGGGCAACAAAAUUCCCCACAGCUGAAAGUAGACAUCAGGCCUCAGACUGAAAACAGUUACGCAAGAUGAGCAAGAAUAGACUCAUACCUAGGCACCCUUCAUUGUGAAACUUUAAAAUACUGAAAAAAUAAAAUAGAAUAAAAUACUGAGAGGAUACAUCCAUUCCAGAGAGAAAAAUACUGGCCACCUAAAAAAAAGAGUUAAAAUCUGACCUUAUCAUACUUGUCAUCAGCGCCAUGGAUCCUGGAAGGCAUUAGAAAGAUACCUCCAAAGUUUUUCAGGCACAUAAUUUUCACCCUAGGGGUUUGUAUCCAGCCAAACUAUCAGUCAUAAGUGGAGGCUGAAGAAGAUAUUUUGUACACAAAGAAAUUUGAAAAAUUGACCUCCUGUGCUACACCUUAAGCUAUUUAUAGAAAUAAUCCAGCAAAAUGAGGCAGUAAACCAAGAAGGAAGGUAAUAGGGGAUUCGGUGCAGAUUGCAGCCAGUCUAGGGUGGAGAGGCUUCUAUUGAUUGUGUGAUUGAGAGCUGAGAAACACCUUGAGGCAUGUUGUACUUACUUGGUAUUAGGCACUGUUGGAAGGGAGGAGGGAGAGGAAGAGGAGAGGGAACUUGAACUCCAGAGGACGAAAGGCUAUAUGGACAUAAACAUGAAGCAAACUAAACUAUCAUUGAUUUUUAACGUACUGUUGGUGAGGAAGAGAAGAAUCCACUUAAACUUGACACUAUAGAUGUCCCCCUUUUCAGUGACACACAGGGGUAAUGACCACCUGUCUAAUUUGUUGUCCAAACCAGAACUUAUCCAAACUCCUUACACUUCAAUAGUGUAAGGAGGCGCUCUAAUGCUGUAACAUCAGGACAACAGGUAUAAACUGGAACAGCCCAAGGCGGCUUGGGGUAUGUGGUCACCCUGCACAAGGGCAGUGACACUGGCACAGUAUGGAACAAGGUGUAGUCUGUACACAGAGACACAGUACAUCUGCAGUGGGCAAUAUUAAUUUAAUUGUAAUAAUGGCAAUACUGUCUUGGUUUGCAGCUUUUAUCGUCAACUUGCAUGUAAUCACUAAUAACUAAAGUAAACUAUACUUAGUAUGUAUUAGUAUUAAGUUGGUAUGUACUGAAAUGUAUUGUGUACUAGUAUGUACUUAGUAUAUAUUAGGCUCUAAGUGUUUUUGCAUAUAUUAACUCAUUUAAUCCUCUGAAUAGCCUUAUGAGGUUGGUGCUAAUAUCAUUCCCACUUUUUUUUUUUUUUUUUUUUUUGCGGUACACGGGCCUCUCACUGUUAUGGCUUCUCCCGUUGCGGAGCACAGGCUCUGGAUGUGCAGGCCCAGCGGCCAUGGCUCACGGGCUCAGCUGCUCCGUGGCAUGUGGGAUCCUCCCAGACCGGAGCACGAAUCCGUGUCCCCUGCAUCGGCAGACGGACUCCGAACCACUGUGCCACCAGGGAUGCCCCAUUCCCACUUUUGAGAACAGGUAACUAAGACAGGGAAGGAACUUGCCCAGGCUGUACCUAUUUUAAGGUUGGAUUGAGGCUUUGAGUUGAGGCUCUCUGCCUGUUCUCUUAAACCUUACUCCUUACUGACUCUCGAAUAACAGAAGACUUAACUGCACAUAGAACAGAAUAUAAAUUUCAACUUUGACAACGUAAAAGCUAGGUUUGGAAGGUAGACAGGAGGUAGAAGAAAGGGAAGAUGGUAUGAAUGUCCUCAUUUUACAAAGCGUGACGUUGAGAGAGUUUAUAGUUGAUCAACAAUGUAGGUUUUUAAGUAUAUCACUACAAGUCAAAGAGAUCAUGAGCAGUGGAAUAACUCAUGAUGACAUAACUUUACAGAGCAGUGUGGACAUAGGAAAGAGUGUAAAGGAACUAAACCCUUACUUAUUAGUAAGUUAGAAAGUGAACAGAUAAUGCCUCCAAUUUAGUGAGAAAAUAGUCAUGUAAGAGUAUUACUUGGAAAUGGAGAAGAAUUCAAAAUAACAAUAGUUGGACCUCCCUGGUGGCGCAGUGGUUAAGAAUCUGCCUGCCAAGGCAGGGGACACGGGUUCGAGCCCUGGUCUGGGAAGAUCCCACAUGCUGCGGAGCAGCGAAGCCCGUGCGCCACAACUACGGAGUCUACGCUCUAGAGCCUGCGAACCACAACUACUGAGCCCACGUGUCACAACUACUGAAGCCCGCGUGCCUAGAUCCUGUGCUCCAUGACAAGAGAAGCCACCACAAUGAAGAGUAGCCCCCGCUCGCUGCAACUAGAGAAAGACUGCACGCAGCAACGAAGACCCAACACAGCCAAAAAUAAAUAAAUAGUAAUAAAAAAAUAAAUAAAAAAUAA